Molecule: non-coding RNA, 274 nt
Organism: Sesamum indicum (sesame)
Lineage: Eukaryota; Viridiplantae; Streptophyta; Magnoliopsida; Lamiales; Pedaliaceae
Source: RefSeq, a predicted model, not a curated record
CAUCAAAUACAUCCAAUCUUUCACUCUCAUCAAAUUUAUGCAACUUUUCAACCCCACAUUCUCCAGCCAUCCUCGAGUCAGGAAUGAUGGUAUCAUCAGAUGCUCAACUACCCUCAUUCCAAAUUCCAGAACAGCAACCAUUGGUGGUGGAUCAAGCCUUCCUCAACAUCCCCGAACAAAAUAAUUCUAAUUCAUGGAACAAUUUCUCCUCGGUAACUAUUUCAAAUGCAAUUCACAACUCCAGUCGGAGCUUAUCCGCCAUCCAACCUCCAAG